This 1064-nucleotide long non-coding RNA is filed under the name Chloebia gouldiae (Gouldian finch). RNAcentral's name for it is "Erythrura gouldiae (Gouldian finch) lncRNA (ENSEGOG00005010912.1)". Lineage: Eukaryota; Metazoa; Chordata; Aves; Passeriformes; Passeridae. The record is from RNAcentral.
CGUCACACCCGCGGGGCCGCUGCCGCAGCGCACAGCUCCGCUCGCUCCGCCUGCCUCACGGCCGAGCACCCAUCGCCUCCGCCGGCUUCUCUCGGCGCCGCAGCCCGGCCGCCCCUCACGGCCAAGCCUCAGCCUCGCCGGCGCCGCCCCGGGCCCCCACAGGGCUCUCGCACCCGGCUCGUGCCGGCUCCACGGCCCGCAGCCGCCUCGGCCGCGCUCUGCCUCGCACGCAUCUCAGGACGCACGGGUCUCACACACACACGGGUCUCACACACACACGGGUCUCACACACACGGACCUCACACACACGGACCUCACACACACACGGGUCUCACACACACGGGUCUCUCACACACACGGGUCUCACACACACACGGGUCUCACACACACACGGGUCACACACACACGGGUCUCACACACACACGGGUCUCACACACACACACGGGUCUCUCACACACACGGGUCUCUCACACACGGACCUCACACACACACGGGUCUCACACACACGGGUCUCACACACACACGGGUCUCACACACACACACGGGUCUCUCACACACACGGGUCACACACACACGGGUCUCACACACACACGGGUCUCACACACACGGACCUCACACACACACGGGUCUCACACACACGGGUCUCACACACACACGGGUCUCACACACACACGGGUCUCACACACACACACGGGUCUCUCACACACACGGGUCUCUCACACACGGACCUCACAGACACAGAUCCCAGAGAUACACGAAUCCCUCCCACACUCUCGGGAUCCCACAGGCACGCGAUCUCGCACACACGGAUGUCACAGGCACACAGAUCUAUCACAUACACGCACAUCCCUCAUACAUACGAAUCUCCCUCACACACAUGGACCUCUCACACACGGAUCCCUCUCACACACGGAUGUCACAGGCACACAGAUCUCUCACACACAGAUCCCUCAUACAUACGAAUCUCUCUCACGCACACGGAUCUCUCACACACACACGGAUGUCACAGGCACACGUGUCUCUCGCAUACGCACGGAUCCCUCACACACACGGAUCUCACACUC